CACCUCUCAGGGUCACACCUGGAGAGUUUCCAGUAGUCUACCAGUCUCAACUAUGGGAGGGAAAGUCAAGCAGAGGUAUACCCAUUCCAAUCCUAGCGUGGGCAGUGGCUAGCGAGUGAAAGAAAAUCUGCUAUAAGU
Small nucleolar RNA from Ornithorhynchus anatinus (platypus), 138 nucleotides. The record is from RefSeq and is a predicted model, not a curated record. NCBI's taxonomy places the organism in Eukaryota, Metazoa, Chordata, Mammalia, Monotremata, Ornithorhynchidae.